UACAGGAAACUGGAGUUAGAGGCCCUUUUGUUUACUGUGUUACACAAAUUCAAUUUGUCAGAGAGCUGGGUUUAUGAAUUAGGAAUGAGGGACGUUAGCAAAAUUAAAUGAUAAGGCCUUGGCCAGCUGCAGCUGAGAUGGGGCUGAUAAAUUGGAGCAGCCAGGCAGGAUUUGGUGAACUAAAACAAAGGCACGGUGUAAAUAUGUAAAAAAAAUGGAUAUUGGGCAUGAAUAUCUUAUAUCUCCUUCUUCCCUGCCCUUGUGGUACAGAAAACUGGGGGGGGAAGCAUUAAAAAAUUAGGAUUUCUCCUUUGGUGGAUGUUGUUUGCAGCAUCCUCACAUCCCAGGCUCUGGUUUGGCCUUGGCUUUGGGGCAGUUCUACAGCUCCAGCCUGUAUUUUGGGAGCAGACUGGCACAACUAUCCCAUGGCAACACCUGGUCCUCCCCUCCUUUCCCAGGGAGAAUUCUGCAGAGUUUCCAGAGCUCUGAGAUGCUGCACGUUCAGAUCCUACCCUUGGAUUCUGCUUCACGACAGCCCCAGGAUAUCUCUCCAGUCACUCCGGGAGCCACUCAUUUAUUGAUGUGCAAAGUGCUCUGCCUCUCAUACCCAAACCCACAGCGCCUGCGACCCCCAGCAGUGCACAGGAUCCUGCUGCACCCAGAAAUGAAGAAGUUUGCCCAGGAAUUAAAGCAAUCCCAUGCCCAGUGAAUGCAGAUUUGAAUAAAGCACCAUCACCAAAGGAGACAAAUUUGAAGUCAAGCAAUGGGAAGGAGGCACGUGUGGGGAUGUGGAUCAGCAGCAGCAGGAGAAGAACAGAGCCAGCUCAGCCCCAAAGUCCCACCCAACAGCACCAUCUCUCCCACAGGAAAAGUUAGAAAAUAAAACAGGAGAUGCUGGAAACCCAGCAAGGGUGACCAGAAUGAUGCUACAGAAAGAAGGAAGCAAAAUUAAAAAAAGCAGCUCGAUGACAAACGAGGCCCUUCAGUGCUGUGGGAUUUUCUCUUGUUCAUCACAGCCAGUGUCAGCCUCCCCAAAAAGAUAUAAAUACUACAAGAAACACCAGGAAAAACACCCCAGCAGCAGCCACCUUGACAUCCCUAACCAAAAAAUCCAGGAGCCACGAGGAAGGAGAACCUUUAAAUCACCAGGAAGCUCUGACAAUGCAGACCCUACUGUGCAAGAUUGCUUUUAAAAAGCACUUACUUUUUAUGGCCUAAUUUAAGGCGACAUUGAACGUUCUCAGGAAAACCUCCCAGUCCCUCCAAGGGCCCUGCCCUGCUAAAGUGUCUGCAAG
This is a long non-coding RNA of Cyanistes caeruleus (blue tit), 1295 nucleotides long. RefSeq lists it as uncharacterized. Lineage: Eukaryota; Metazoa; Chordata; Aves; Passeriformes; Paridae. The record is from RefSeq and is a predicted model, not a curated record.